AGCGAACGCUGGCGGCAGGCCUAACACAUGCAAGUCGAACGAACCUUUCGGGGUUAGUGGCGGACGGGUGAGUAACACCUGGGAACGUGCCUUUAGGUUCGGAAUAACUCAGGGAAACUUGUGCUAAUACCGAAUGUGCCCUUCGGGGGAAAGAUUUAUCGCCUUUAGAGCGGCCCGCGUCUGAUUAGCUAGUUGGUUGAGGUAAUGGCUCACCAAGGCGACGAUCAGUAGCUGGUCUGAGAGGAUGAUCAGCCACAUUGGGACUGAGACACGGCCCAAACUCCUACGGGAGGCAGCAGUGGGGAAUCUUGCGCAAUGGGCGAAAGCCUGACGCAGCCAUGCCGCGUGAAUGAUGAAGGUCUUAGGAUUGUAAAAUUCUUUCACCGGGGACGAUAAUGACGGUACCCGGAGAAGAAGCCCCGGCUAACUUCGUG
This 434-nucleotide ribosomal RNA is filed under the name uncultured bacterium. Its description in RNAcentral is "partial 16S ribosomal RNA". It matches the Rfam family "Bacterial small subunit ribosomal RNA", at positions 29 to 507 of the family's 1533-position model. The record is from RNAcentral.